This is a long non-coding RNA of Drosophila mojavensis, 580 nucleotides long. RefSeq lists it as uncharacterized. The record is from RefSeq and is a predicted model, not a curated record. Lineage: Eukaryota; Metazoa; Arthropoda; Insecta; Diptera; Drosophilidae. The transcript is spliced from 2 exons.
CGCUGUCAUACUCUCCGCCUGCUGGCACUUGCAGUAUAAGCAGCAACAGACGACGCAGGCUGCAAGGAUAAGCGAAUCACGCCAGCAACAAAUAAGGAUAUAUGUGUGUGGGCACAAUGGGCGCUCUCUCGAAAUCAACUUUGCUACUGUCAGGAGUCACUGUCAUUGUUGUUUCACUGUGUCUGUUGGUGCUGCUGCUGAUGCUGUCGAUGUCAAUGUAUAAAUCCAGAACAGAAUUUGACACCUUUUGGGAGUAGUGGCUCGCACUUGAAAUGUCGCAAUGUACAGGAGGCGAGCCUGAACAUAGCAGGAACGACAGAACAAACCAUAGACUUGAUUGAAUAUUCAUUAUUAUUAUUCUUGCCAAUCGUACAACUGUUGCUAAACGAAUGCGUUGACAGCUGAGCAUUGAAAGAAGCUUCUGGAGAGUGCUGAAAGAGUUGCAUUAGUGUUAGUUGAGAAUGCAGGUUUAUCCACGUUGCUAAACAGGCCUAUUGAUAAGCAAACAGUUGUGGGUAGAGGGUUAUGUGAAAAUAAUAUGUUUCUGUGCGGAAAUAUAGUCUGCAGAGACCACUCUCAA